This 372-nucleotide ribosomal RNA is filed under the name uncultured organism. RNAcentral describes it as "partial 16S ribosomal RNA". It matches the Rfam family "Bacterial small subunit ribosomal RNA", at positions 527 to 896 of the family's 1533-position model. The record is from RNAcentral.
GUAGGUGGCAAGCGUUGUCCGGAAUUAUUGGGCGUAAAGCGCGCGCAGGCGGUUCUUUAAGUCUGAUGUGAAAGCCCACGGGCUCAACCGUGGAGGGUCAUUGGAAACUGGAGAACUUGAGUACAGAAGAGGAAAGCGGAAUUCCACGUGUAGCGGUGAAAUGCGUAGAGAUGUGGAGGAACACCAGUGGCGAAGGCGGCUUUCUGGUCUGUAACUGACGCUGAGGCGCGAAAGCGUGGGGAGCAAACAGGAUUAGAUACCCUGGUAGUCCGCGCCGUAAACGAUGAGUGCUAAGUGUUAGGGGGUUUCCGCCCCUUAGUGCUGCAGCUAACGCAUUAAGCACUCCGCCUGGGGAGUACGACCGCAAGGUUG